Small RNA from Winogradskyella sp. PC-19, 126 nucleotides. It matches the Rfam family "6S-Flavo RNA". NCBI's taxonomy places the organism in Bacteria, Pseudomonadati, Bacteroidota, Flavobacteriia, Flavobacteriales, Flavobacteriaceae. The record is from Rfam.
ACUCAACGUUAAUUCUUUAAAAAGGGUGAGUUGAAGUUGUAAAACCGUGCUGCUGUUUCUAUGUAUUUAGAAUCUGGGCAGAUUUUUGAGCAGCUUGUUAGCCCUAAACUUGUUUUUAAGGAGUUU